RNAcentral lists this ribosomal RNA (497 nucleotides) under uncultured bacterium. RNAcentral's name for it is "partial 16S ribosomal RNA". It matches the Rfam family "Bacterial small subunit ribosomal RNA", at positions 28 to 507 of the family's 1533-position model. The record is from RNAcentral.
GAUGAACGCUGGCGGCAUGCCUAAUACAUGCAAGUCGAGCGAACGGACGAGAAGCUUGCUUCUCUGAUGUUAGCGGCGGACGGGUGAGUAACACGUGGAUAACCUACCUAUAAGACUGGGAUAACUUCGGGAAACCGUAGCUAAUACCGGAUAAUAUUUUGAACCGCAUGGUUCAAAAGUGAAAGACGGUCUUGCUGCCACUUAUAGAUGGAUCCGCGCUGCAUUAGCUAGUUGGUAAGGUAACGGCUUACCAAGGCAACGAUGCAUAGCCGACCUGAGAGGGUGAUCGGCCACACUGGAACUGAGACACGGUCCAGACUCCUACGGGAGGCAGCAGUAGGGAAUCUUCCGCAAUGGGCGAAAGCCUGACGGAGCAACGCCGCGUGAGUGAUGAAGGUCUUCGGAUCGUAAAACUCUGUUAUUAGGGAAGAACAUAUGUGUAAGUAACUGUGCACAUCUUGACGGUACCUAAUCAGAAAGCCACGGCUAACUACGUG